Molecule: transfer RNA, 73 nt
Filed under: Salmonella phage Si3
Lineage: Duplodnaviria; Heunggongvirae; Uroviricota; Caudoviricetes; Andersonviridae
Description: tRNA-Ala
Rfam family: tRNA
About the family: Transfer RNA (tRNA) molecules are approximately 80 nucleotides in length. Their secondary structure includes four short double-helical elements and three loops (D, anti-codon, and T loops).
Source: RNAcentral
GGGGAUGUAGUUUACAUGGUUAAAACAUAAGUUUUGCAAACUUGGGAACUGAGUUCAAUUCUCAGUGACUCCA